RNAcentral lists this long non-coding RNA (213 nucleotides) under Elaeis guineensis (African oil palm). Its description in RNAcentral is "long non-coding RNA (EGUI_LNC077189)". Lineage: Eukaryota; Viridiplantae; Streptophyta; Magnoliopsida; Arecales; Arecaceae. The record is from RNAcentral.
AAUUGUUGAAAUCAACUGAAACCCGAAACGUGGUGUUUAUUCCUGUUUAGUCUUGGUAUGGAUCGAUUUUGUCCAAAGCCUUGAAGUUAAUGUUACUCUCUUGAUUGGUACUAACAUUUUUCAAAAAUUAGCAUGACAAAUGUGGCUGCAUGCCCCAUGCUAUGGAACAUGAAUCCUUGCUUUGAAGCAAGGUUCACUGAACCAUCCUGAACU